GACUAACGCUGGCGGCGUGCUUAACACAUGCAAGUUGAACGGAGCAAGUUUGUAGCAAUAUGAGCUUGCUUAGUAGCGGACGGGUGAGUAACGCGUGAGCAAUCUGCCUUUGUGAGGGGGGACAACACCGGGAAACCGGUGCUAAUACCGCAUGAGACCACAGCUCUGAGUGGAGCAGGGGGUCAAAGAUUUAUCGCACAAAGAUGAGCUCGCGUCCCAUUAGCUAGUUGGUGAGGUAACGGCCCACCAAGGCGACGAUGGGUAGCCGACCUGAGAGGGUGAUCGGCCACACUGGAACUGAGACACGGUCCAGACUCCUACGGGUGGCAG
This 330-nucleotide ribosomal RNA is filed under the name uncultured Bacillota bacterium. RNAcentral's name for it is "bacterial SSU rRNA". It matches the Rfam family "Bacterial small subunit ribosomal RNA", at positions 28 to 351 of the family's 1533-position model. Lineage: Bacteria; Bacillati; Bacillota. The record is from RNAcentral.